GCGGUUCGCUGCCCGCGACGUUGUGAGAAGUCCACUGAACCUUAUCAUUUAGAGGAAGGAGAAGUCGUAACAAGGUUUCCGUAGGUGAACCUGCGGAAGGAUCAUUG
RNAcentral lists this ribosomal RNA (107 nucleotides) under Oxytropis splendens. Its description in RNAcentral is "partial 18S ribosomal RNA". It matches the Rfam family "Eukaryotic small subunit ribosomal RNA", at positions 1725 to 1831 of the family's 1831-position model. The record is from RNAcentral. Lineage: Eukaryota; Viridiplantae; Streptophyta; Magnoliopsida; Fabales; Fabaceae.